Molecule: ribosomal RNA, 482 nt
Filed under: uncultured bacterium
Lineage: Bacteria
Description: bacterial SSU rRNA
Rfam family: Bacterial small subunit ribosomal RNA
Source: RNAcentral
AAUUCGCCCUUAGAGUUUGAUCAUGGCUCAGAUUGAACGCUGGCGGCAUGCCUUACACAUGCAAGUCGAACGGUAACGCGGGGCAACCUGGCGACGAGUGGCGAACGGGUGAGUAAUAUAUCGGAACGUGCCCAGUCGUGGGGGAUAACUGCUCGAAAGAGCAGCUAAUACCGCAUACGACCUGAGGGUGAAAGCGGGGGAUCUUCGGACCUCGCGCGAUUGGAGCGGCCGAUAUCAGAUUAGGUAGUUGGUGGGGUAAAGGCCUACCAAGCCGACGAUCUGUAGCUGGUCUGAGAGGACGACCAGCCACACUGGGACUGAGACACGGCCCAGACUCCUACGGGAGGCAGCAGUGGGGAAUUUUGGACAAUGGGGGCAACCCUGAUCCAGCCAUGCCGCGUGCGGGAAGAAGGCCUUCGGGUUGUAAACCGCUUUUGUCAGGGAAGAAAUCCUUUGGGCUAAUAACUCGGAGGGACGACGGU